RNAcentral lists this ribosomal RNA (466 nucleotides) under uncultured bacterium. RNAcentral describes it as "bacterial SSU rRNA". It matches the Rfam family "Bacterial small subunit ribosomal RNA", at positions 338 to 795 of the family's 1533-position model. The record is from RNAcentral.
CCUANGGGAGGCAGCAAGUCGGAAUAUUUGUCAAUGGGCGAAAGCUUGAACAAGCAAUGCCGCGUGAGCGAUGAAGGCCUUCGGGUUGUAAAGCUCUGUGUUUUGGGAAGAAAAACUGGCACGUUAAUAACUUGCCAGAUUGACGGUACCAUAAUAGAAAGCCCCGGCUAACUACGUGCCAGCAGCCGCGGUGAUACGUAGGGGGCAAGCGUUGUUCGGAAUUACUGGGUGUAAAGGGCGUACAGGCGGCUGAGUAAGUCGGAUGUGAAAUCCUUGGGCUUAACCUGAGAACUGCAUUUGAUACUGCUCGGCUUGAGGUUAGGAGAGGAAAGCGGAAUAUGUGGUGUAGCGGUGAAAUGCGCAGAUAUCACAUAGAACACCGGUGGCGAAGGCGGCUUUCUGGCCUGACUCUGACGCUGACGCGCGAAAGCUAGGGGAGCGAACGGGAUUAGAUACCCUANUANUC